Quercus lobata is the source of this 329-nucleotide long non-coding RNA. RefSeq lists it as uncharacterized. NCBI's taxonomy places the organism in Eukaryota, Viridiplantae, Streptophyta, Magnoliopsida, Fagales, Fagaceae. The transcript has 2 exons. The record is from RefSeq and is a predicted model, not a curated record.
ACAACCUCCGAUGAAUUAAAUAGAGAGAGCGAAAAACUUUUUAGGGUUUUGCUUUCAACCGAAAAAGAGAGCUCUGAGGGUUUAGGUUUUGCGUUCAACGUUGCUAAUUUCCCAGUUCGAAAUAGUAGCUUUCCCAUCAACAUGAUUUGGGACUUGCGCACAAACCAACCUCAACAAUCUGUCAAAGCUCAUGAGAAAGAGAGAGAGAGAGGUGACAUUCUUGAAAACUUUCUCAUUUCUGUGACAGUGGCUCUCCAAUUUUUUUAUUAAAUGUCUUACCUACCAUGUGCUAAAAAUUUUCCAUGAAUUUUUUUACCAAAUUUCUAUAA